This 326-nucleotide ribosomal RNA is filed under the name uncultured eukaryote. RNAcentral's name for it is "partial 18S ribosomal RNA". It matches the Rfam family "Eukaryotic small subunit ribosomal RNA", at positions 1470 to 1796 of the family's 1831-position model. The record is from RNAcentral.
CCCUUAGAUGUUCUGGGCCGCACGCGCGCUACACUGAUGCAUUCAACGAGUUUUACCUUGGCCGAGAGGCCUGGGCAAUCUUUUAAACCUGCAUCGUGAUAGGGAUAGAUUAUUGCAAUUAUUAAUCUUGAACGAGGAAUUCCUAGUAAACGCAAAUCAUCAAUUUGCAUUGAUUACGUCCCUGCCCUUUGUACACACCGCCCGUCGCACCUACCGAUUGAAUGGUCCGGUGAGGCUUUGGGAUCUGAGCGGAAAGAGCGUUUCGCUGUUUCUGCUCGGAAAACUCAGUCGAACCUUAUCAUUUAGAGGAAGGAGAAGUCGUAACA